AGGCUGAGAUGGAUCCAGAGGUGGGAAGGAUCGCAAGAUUCUGGAUCACCGAGACGAGGGAGGACGGAUUUGAACUGGAUGUCAGCAGCAGCCAAGCUAAGGAAAAAACGAAGAAAGUAAAUUUGAUUGGACCAUUAACAUUGUUUCGAUACUCUGAUUGGCAGGAUAAAUUAUUUAUGUCUUUUGGCACUAUCAUGGCCAUAACUCAUGUAUCAGGUCUGCCCCUCAUGAUGAUAGUAUUUGGAGAAAUGA
This is a long non-coding RNA of Cervus elaphus (red deer), 252 nucleotides long. RefSeq lists it as uncharacterized. The transcript is spliced from 3 exons. Lineage: Eukaryota; Metazoa; Chordata; Mammalia; Artiodactyla; Cervidae. The record is from RefSeq and is a predicted model, not a curated record.